Long non-coding RNA from Oncorhynchus tshawytscha (Chinook salmon), 300 nucleotides. The record is from Ensembl. Lineage: Eukaryota; Metazoa; Chordata; Actinopteri; Salmoniformes; Salmonidae.
UAGGGGUCAGGUGACUAUAUACAGUAUGUAUAGGGGUCAGGUGACUAUAUACAGGGUCAGGAGAUACAGUAUGUAUAGGGGUCAGGUGACUAUAUACAGGGUCAGUAGAUACAGUAUGUGUAGGGGUCAGGUGACUAUAUACAGGGUCAGUAGAUACAGUAUGUGUAGGGGUCAGGUGACUAUAUACAGGGUCAGUAGAUACAGUAUGUAUAUAGGGGUCAGGGGACGAUAUACAGGGUCAGUAGAUACAGUAUGUAUAGGGGUCAGGUGACUAUAUACAGUAUGUAUAGGGGUCAGGGG